GAAGCAGAGCUUAUGGCAAUAUUUACCUGGGAUGUAAACCCCAUAUGUUAUUCACUCAGCGUGAGCUAGAUCUAAAAAGGCAAUGUUUCUGUUUCGGUAAUGCAAUUUGAUGUGGCCCUUCCCAGAAUAAGCCUCUCAUGUGGAAAGACUCAUAUGAAACUAGACAUGUGGAAUUGAAUGGUGGGUGACUUUGUUUGUUGUUGUUAAUAACGGAAAACAUGACUUUAAUGCUUGGGUGUAUUUUUCUCAGCCUCCGAAAAAACAUCCACAAGCUGCUGAUGACCGGCUGAAACCUCAGCUCGUCCUCCUUCAGGGGCCGGUAUUAUUCAAAGGCCUGCAUCGGCGUCCACAGACACAGCCAUGUACAGGCUACCGGGUCAUACAGCACCGCACACAGCCCCGCGCACACAUCUGAUACUCUUUCCAGAAUCUCCCAAACAUGCCACUCGCUCUGUCUCAUUUAUGUUCCCCCACCACUUUGUGUGUGUAUGGAGGGGCGCAGGCGCAUACACCCUGGAUAAGCAAACAGAGGCCAGAGAAGGAGGUCAAGAUAAGUUCUCACUGAAGCAGAGGUUCCUCGUUUCAUCUAGACUGAGACCCAGACAGCCACUCUCAUUGUCCCCUGAGGGUUAUCGGCAACUCAGUGAUGCCCAGCUUUUUUGACGUGGGUGCUAUCGACUGAAACUCAUUCUUGCAGAGCAAGCACUCCUGCUCACUGAACCAUCUUCCCAACCAUCCCCCACUGCCCCUCCUUGAAGUAGGGUCUCACUCUGGAGCCCAUACUUGAAAUAAAUUCUCCCACCUCCGCCACCUGAGUGUGCACUAGGAUUAUAGGUGUAUGCUUCCAUGCCUGCUUCUCCUGUCACUUUGAAAGAUGAGAGGUUCUUGUUUUCUUGACAGAAACAGAAAUCAUUUAAACACCAGUUCUGCUUCCCGAGGGAACUCUGAAUCUGCUCCCCAUUGGGCGGCAGCAGCUUUCCCAUGGAACCCUGGGUUAGCAGGCUUGGACCUGCCACUUCUGGCCGCCACUCUCCUGUGGCUGGCUGGCAGGCUCAGUUUUCAGGUAUUGUCACAUGUCACAGCCUGCUAAUCUGGCCUUUGCCUCGCUGAAGAAUGCUGAGAAGAAAUACGUCAGUCAGCUGGCUGUUUGUCACACAGCCAUAAAGGCUCAUCCAGGGGUGCUGAGAAAUGGUUCACGUGGCUUUUGUCUGCCUGUAACAAGGCUCCUGGAGCAACUAAUCUCAUCAGCUCACCCUUCAGACUCCGGUGUCAGCUGCUCAGGGAACGGUUUACCCACAGCUGCUGAUGAGUUCCCAGUAGGACCCAUUUCUGGUUGCAAGGGCUUGGUACAGAAGAAAAAAAAAAAACAAAGCAAAACAACGAACAAACGAAACACAGGCAAUGAAGGUUGUCCUCCCAAAUCUCAACACAAUGAUUCCACCAGAAGCCUAAGGAAUUGUCUCAUCAACCAGAGCAGAUGGACAGCACGGGAGACAGCUAGAGUGGACCUUAGGAGUCAAGGUCAACUGGAGGCCUCUCUUGCCUGGAAUGAAAGGUGCCGCUGGCUGGAAAGAUGCCCCUCUCCCAGAGGCCAGACUAGACGUCAGCAGCUUCUGAGUUCCCAGGCUCUGGAAGUGGAUCUCAGCCCAGUCCCUCCAUCACAGUCGUUCACAAGCUGAUCCUCAACUAGGGGCUGAGUGCCCUUCCCACAGGAGCCUGGGGAGGCUCUGGUUAGUCCUGCCCUUCCCAAGGUCACCCUGGGCAGCCAGCCAAAGAAACAAUUUAUGGAAGAAGCAGGAGCAAUAAUAUAAAUUAUUUUUUAACUAACCCUCAGUUAUCUGAUCACCCUGGGUCUCUGCUCAGGAUAAAAAUCCCAAGAGUUAAACACACUUCAAGAAGAGGUAGCUUCGCUUCUUCUCCGGGGCACAGUCAGAGGCUGGGCGUUACACCUAUAAAACUUGCCCUCCUCUGCUGAGCCAUCUGUGUAAUGAAAAGGUGGAGGGGGCUGGGGAUGUGCUCAGUGGUAGAGCGCUUGCCCGGCAUGUGGCAGGGCCUGGGUUUGAUUUCCAGGGAAGGCCCAGGUCAAGAGGUGGGGAUAGAAAGAACAAAGUACUUAAAAAGGAAUUAAAAAAAAAAAUACUGUCCUGGUUUUCUUUCUAAGAAAUGAACGGGUCACGGGGACUCCUGACUCAUUUGUUUGAACAGUUAAGGGACUGGGAGUGGGGAUGCCAUUUAACCCCUCUUGGGACAGACAGAUGUCUUGAUAAACUUGCCAGGGAAACACAGCAAAUUCCAAAGGCAAGGCUAAAACCAUGUGCCUUCAACUUAGACCUGUUUCCAGAAAUUUGCUCCUCCAUGCCCCAGAGAGAAUGAUGAAAUCCCAAUAAAUGGGGAACUUUGUUAAUAACUAGGAUCUAUGUGGUAUUUCUGCAAAGCUAUCCUGCCAGACCCUAGUGAGUCUUCUGGGAGAGUAGCAACAUGUCCUUAGGGAGACAUUUCGGUAGUAAAUUUCCUCUCUUUGUUAAUCUUUUUCCCUUUUCAGCAGUUCCAGCCAUUUGUGUGCUUGUGUGUUGCUUUAAUAUAUAUAGCAUAUGUUAUAUAUGUUGUUAUAAUAUAUAUUUAAUAUAUAUUGUUUUAGAAACCUGACUUUAUGUGCCCACAAGCCUGCAAAUACCUGUAGAGACCAGAGAGCCUCCGAUCCCCUGGAGCUGGGAGUUCCAGGUUAUCUUAGUUGUA
This is a long non-coding RNA of Myodes glareolus (Bank vole), 2736 nucleotides long. RefSeq lists it as uncharacterized. The record is from RefSeq and is a predicted model, not a curated record. NCBI's taxonomy places the organism in Eukaryota, Metazoa, Chordata, Mammalia, Rodentia, Cricetidae.